UACAGAGGUCUCAAGCGUUGUUCGGAAUUACUGGGCGUAAAGGGCGCGUAGGCGGUGUGUCAAGUCAGGCGUGAAAGCCCCGGGCUCAACCUGGGAACAGCGCUUGAGACUGGCACGCUCGAGUUCGGGAGAGGAUGGUGGAAUUCCCAGUGUAGAGGUGAAAUUCGUAGAUAUUGGGAAGAACACCGAUGGCGAAGGCAGCCAUCUGGACCGACACUGACGCUGAGGCGCGAAAGCGUGGGGAGCAAACAGG
This 253-nucleotide ribosomal RNA is filed under the name uncultured bacterium. Its description in RNAcentral is "partial 16S ribosomal RNA". It matches the Rfam family "Bacterial small subunit ribosomal RNA", at positions 524 to 776 of the family's 1533-position model. The record is from RNAcentral.